AAACGCUGGCGGCGUGUCUUAAGCAUGCAAGUCNAGCGGCAGGCGCAGCAAUGCGCUGAGAGCGGCGGACUGGUGAGUAACGCGUGGGUAAUCUACCUUUGGCAUGGGGAUAGCCACUAGAAAUAGUGGGUAAUACCGAAUACGUUCCCUGGGGGGAGGUUUCAGGGAAGAAAGGGUGCUACGGCACCGGCCAAAGAUGAGCUCGCGUCCCAUUAGCUAGUUGGUGAGGUAACGGCCCACCAAGGCGAUGAUGGGUAGCCGGCCUGAGAGGGUGUACGGCCACACUGGGACUGAGAUACGGCCCAGACUCCUACGGGAGGCAGCAGCUAAGAAUAUUCCGCAAUGGACGAAAGUCUGACGGAGCGACGCCGCGUGGAUGAUGAAGGCCGAAAGGUUGUAAAGUCCUUUUGCUGGGGAAGAAUAAGUGUGGGAGGGAAUG
Molecule: ribosomal RNA, 439 nt
Filed under: uncultured bacterium
Lineage: Bacteria
Description: bacterial SSU rRNA
Rfam family: Bacterial small subunit ribosomal RNA
Source: RNAcentral